CCUGGCGGCUGUAGCGCGGUGGUCCCACCUGACCCCAUGCCGAACUCAGAAGUGAACCGCCGUAGCGCCGAUGGUAGUGUGGGGCCUCCCCAUGCGAGAGUAGGGAACUGCCAGGC
Molecule: ribosomal RNA, 116 nt
Filed under: Cronobacter sakazakii
Lineage: Bacteria; Pseudomonadati; Pseudomonadota; Gammaproteobacteria; Enterobacterales; Enterobacteriaceae
Source: RNAcentral